AACAUUCUUUCUCAUAAUAGUAGUGGUUAAACUGCGUUGACUGUCAUAAAAUGAAAACACAAUUCUUCUUCUUCUUCUUCUUCUUCUUCUUGUGGCCUCACCUACCCUCUCCUCUUCUCUCUUCGUUGUCCUGUCUAUCUCUCCACCGCCGGCUCUCUACUCUUCCGGUCAUCUCGUUAGUUCUCGUUCCUUCUUUUAAAACCUUCGAUGGACUUUUUUCCUAUGCCAUUUUCGUAAAUUCAUUAGAUUUUCAGGCAAACUAGACAUCCGGUUGCCAAGCUUGAAUUUUUAUCUUAGUUUCUCUCACUAUAACUUUUCUCUUUCUCUCUCUAGAAAAUAA
This 340-nucleotide long non-coding RNA is filed under the name Jatropha curcas. RNAcentral describes it as "long non-coding RNA (JCUR_LNC000562)". The record is from RNAcentral. Lineage: Eukaryota; Viridiplantae; Streptophyta; Magnoliopsida; Malpighiales; Euphorbiaceae.